Long non-coding RNA from Pipra filicauda (Wire-tailed manakin), 4386 nucleotides. RefSeq lists it as uncharacterized. The transcript is spliced from 2 exons. The record is from RefSeq and is a predicted model, not a curated record. Lineage: Eukaryota; Metazoa; Chordata; Aves; Passeriformes; Pipridae.
CAAACCAGAAAAAUAUAGAGAUUUGGGAAGACCUGGAGAUGGAUUGGAAGUGAUCAUCCCCACACUUUCUGAAAUCAAACAGGAGCAAAAGACAGGAAGGCACUUAGCCUGAAGAGAUUUCACUAACAUGAAAAGCUUCAUUUUUUUAUUUUGAAUCAAGGUAGGCACUAAGAACUUCAGGUUUGCCAAUAUUUACACCCUAACAAAUGCUCUCUGAGAGUUUCACUACAGGUGAAAAAGUUAAGAAACUCAAAUAAAGGUGUAAGCUCUUACAGAAAUUAAAGCAUGUUAAACCCCACCGGGUAGCUCUUAUUCAGGUGCAAAGUGGCCUCAGCUUGCUGUACAAAGUAAUCCCUUUGCACACCAGGCUUCACAGACCCUGCAGUGCUGGUUCCAGUGCCCAUGGGUCAUAGUCCCAGAAUUUAAUGCCAUUGCAAUUGAGGAACAUGCUGCUCCACUACAGCGAAAUGGCCAUGACAGAGUAGAGCUGGGUCAAUGGUUAAUAAUGCUGCAGUGUUCAGACCUUAGAGCAUGUUUUAACAGGGUUUGUAUAUUAGCUUUUACCUACCCAUUGCUCUGAUACAAAGACUCACCACAUUUCUUCAUUAACUUUGGAGAAGAAUGGAAAUUUCAGGUGUAGCAGCCCCCAAAGUCCAAAGUACUAGGCAAAGAGGGUUACCAAUAAAGCUAGAAAUUCGGGCUUCAUUUGUUUGUUUUCAAAGUUCAGGCUUUUACCUUAUACAUCAUUUAUGUUGGAAAAAAUCAUGAAGGAUUAUGCAGCGAAAAGUCCUACUAGAGAUGGAAAGUACUUUUCUUCCCUGCCUUUCUAUCACAUCCACCACAUCUGGGUCAGAGACUUGGCCUGCUGGCUAUGACGAUGCCGAAGGUCAAGCAAGAAGUACAGGGAAUAGCAAUGAGUUAGAAAGCCAGAUUCCUCAGAAACAUACACAAAACGAAUGGAAGAUCUCCAGUGACCAAGAGCAAUGCAAAUGAUGAUUCCCAUAUGGGUGAAGUGAUUCUCUAAAGCGAGAUGGGGAAAAGACAUCCAUGCAAUGUGUGACAAAGUUUUAUUUCACCUUCUUCUGCAAGUCUUGUUUCAAAACCAGAAACAAUUCUAAUAACUAUUCAGCUUUGCCGAUGUCCUUACAUGGCAUCCCUGAAAGAACGCAGUCAUUUUUUGAGAUGUUUUGUAUUAUUAGAGAUUUUUUCUCCCAGCAAAAUCCAUCUUCUGUAGGAAAACAGAAAGCUUUUUUUUCUCUGUGCAGCUAUUUUUCUGAGCACCAUGACUACAUACUCUCCACUGGGCAGGAGAAGCUCUUGCCCCAGCACUCAGCUGCUGUCAAGGAGGGUAGCAGCAGCAGCAGCUGCAUGCUGGGCAGCAGGCACAUGAGCGCCGGGCACACAGAAGGCAGUGUGAAGACAGUAUCCUGUCCUCAUGCAGUGAAAGAAGUGGUUCUCAUGCAUUUCAGUGGUGAAUUCUGCCACUUUCUUGCCAAACAGCUUGAAAACAAUUCUGUUGGCAUCAGUACUUCAGUGGUUACUGUCUGUGAUCAAAACAGGGGAUCCUGGAACUCACAGGGCUUUGACAUCUGCACUGACAGACACCCAUGCCCCUCCUCCUUCCCUCUUAAAAAUGUCUACACACAGAGCCUUGGUAUUCUUUACAUAAAAUGUAACGUGGUCAAUAAACCUGAAGUGUCACACAGAAAACCCGUGGAGGAAACAAGCUGCAGGUAUGAAACUCAGCCGCUUUCAAUCUGGUUUUAGUAUUUGCAUGUCUUUCAAAAGGACCUAUGGGAAUUUCUCUCCAUAGCUACUAGCUUUACUUUGGAGUAUUUAAAAAAUCCCAGUGAGCUCUCACCUGCUUGUGGAGUUACAGUAAAAAGCCAAAGCUGCUAAUCCAAGCUACAACUUGCAAAAGUAACUCUGUAAAUGUGCGUGUUGGCUGUAACUUUGAAACAGCUCUGAGAGUGAACUGAACUGUUGGUCUUGGUUAGCCUCUCUGGUCUCCAGGAUUCCCAGGCUGUGGAAUCUGAUUAAAAAAUCAGGAUGACGUGGAGUGGAGCAUUUUUGCACACAUUUGCCAUUUGCUGCUGACAACAUUUCAAUAUUUUGGUUGAGCACUGUCCAGUUCAGGAUCUAUCAGGGGUGGCUGUUUAAGGUUGUAUCCAGUUUUCCUGAAAGACAACCUUACAAGAUUGCAGCCCCAACUUCAUCAGAUGCUUCUUGUAGACAGGCAGUCUAUGCUUAGGCAGCUGGAGGAGCCCUGGUUGCAAGUGGGAAAGCAGCAAAGGCAGGAGGCAGAAGUUGGCAUAGCUGAGCUGGGCUGCCUGGCAUCUGCUGUGGCAAAAGAUGUGCCAGUCUGCCACUUCCCCUUGUCCAUGGGGUGUGCAUUUCCAGAGCAAAGGCUGGGGCAGCAGAGCCACACCACACAGACAGCAUGAAGAGAAAAAAAGAAGUUUCUUCAUAGUAAUCAUUGUUAAAAAUACCUAUUGACAACAUUUAUCAUCACAGACAUUAUUCUUUGAGCCAUGUUGCAUGCUUGGGCAGAGGUGAAUUGGGCAGGAUUAAAAGCUCAAUCAUUUAGUGAGCCCAGUACUUGAUUUUAUGUUUUGUUGCCAUGUGUUCCAGCCCAGUGGCUGCGGAGUCAAGAGUGCCUGCAGUGCUGCUCUUCUUUUGCUUGCGGCAAAGCCAGGCAAAGUGUCUGGCACUGGGAUGGAUCAGCAGUGGCCAAGCCGGUAAAGGAACAUCACUAAGGGCCAGACUAUCCACCUGAACGCAUUGCCAGAGCCUCUCCUGUGGUGGUAUCGUGCUUCUGAGAGCAGAGACAGGAGAGACAGCAGAAACUGCAGCCACCGGAGAGAGCCGGAGUGUGCAGCCGGGCAGCCUGGUAACAGACCAGCACAGCCAGGAUGCAAAGUUGACCCUUUACGUGUUUAUUCUCUGCCCCAACAGCAAGGCUACGUCACCUGCCACGAGUAUCAGAAUAUUUACUAUCAGCUGCAGGGAGGAGAAUUAUCACCAGCACUACCGAAUCCCAUCAGCAGAUACAAUGCAGCAAGCACAGAAAUUACUGACAACCGCUCCGCUGACUCGGCAGUGAACCUCACUGUGCAAUCUCAGCGCACGCACGUCCUGCCGGAGCCGCCGGAUUCCUCAGCACACCUUCCAGACCUCUGUUUGCAUUAACGAUAUAAAUGCGCACUGUGAGCUCUCGUGAAUUACAGAGGAAUUUAUCUUGUGUGGAAAUUACGUUUAUUUUUUUUUUCUGUUUAAGUGAGUCAGUCAGAGUGGCUGAAUACGGCAUUCAAAAUUAUGAUGGGUAGGAGCAUUUUUAAGUGACUGAUUUCGCAGCACAAUGUGCCCUAUAUUUAUUAGCCUUUUACUCUAGGGCUAUUUUAAUUGUUAUCUGUUCAUGCAUGCUACACUAUAUAAUGAAAUGCUCCCAUUUCACUCAUAGAGUGGAGAGUUUUUUAUGUGUAUCUCUAUUAAUGACCCUUAAUUAAGUUGAUUUUAGUAAUUUAAAUAUGAUUUUCCUCUGGUCAAGAAGUAUUUUUAAUGGGAGAUAUUGGAAAUGAACUUUCAUAUAAGCCCUUUUCUAAUGCUUCUUAUUUAACAGUUACAGCAAUUUAUCAAGCUAUGUUUUCAAUGAAUGAGGUAUGAGGUAGCCAUGCAAAAAACCUGUUAAUUUACAUGAUUCAUCAAAUGUGAUUGUUAGCAACCUUUUUUUUUGGUAUUUACUUAUAAAAGACUUCAAUUUUCCAAGCAAUUAGCAAAAGCAUUACCAAUGGAUAAACUUCGUGACAGUUCUAAGCUACAAUAAAUACAAGGAUACAUCUUAAGAGACAAAAAAUAAAUUAAUGUAUUUUAAAAUAAUUUAGUCAUAGUAUCAACGGAAGCACAGUACCAAAAUUAUUUAGGAUUACAAGAAUUAACAUCCAAACCAUUUAGGAAAUAAAAUCAACUUGCUCUUGAUAAAGUUAAUAACAUCAAAAGCAUUGUUCUGACAACUCUUUUCAAAAUAUGUGAUUUAAUCUUUUUUUAAAACUGCAAAAAAGAAUGACUGUGGAGACAGCAUAUACCCAUUUGGGGGUAAAACACUAGAGGUCUUGUCAAGUAAUUUUAAUAUUCUACCAUAAUUUAUCUUCUUGUGCAAAUAUUCAUUUUGCUGAAACCUCAGAGGAAUAAAAGUUUAAAGUGAGGUAUAAAAAUUAUUAUGGGUAACAAUAUGUGGAAUCCAGCCAAGACAACUAGGUAAGAAUAUAUGGCUUUUUACUGCUAAUUACCAAAUGUUCCCAUUUUUCAAUCUGAAAUAAUGGCUGUGGUUUGAAAGACCUUUACUUGUAAUCGUAAUUCUAACUGUCUAAUAAAACACUGACUUUGUAA